GAUGAAGAACGCAGCGAAAUGCGAUAAGUAAUGUGAAUUGCAGAAUUCAGUGAAUCAUCGAGUUUUUGAACGCAUAUUGCGCCCUCUGGUAUUCCGGGGGGCAUGCCUGUUCGAGCGUCAUUAAAUAACCCUCAAGCAUAGCUUGGUGUUGGGCUUUUUUACGUCCUUGACUGGGAUGGGCCUAAAAAUUAGUGGCGAUGGCUUUUUUACUUUCAAGCGUAGUAAAUCUCGUCUUGCUAAAGAGGAAAAAGAUUUUUUUUCUGCCAAAAAUUUUAACAUUUAAAGUUGACCUCGGAUCAGGUAGGAUUACCUGCUGAACUUAAGCAUAUCAAUAAGCGGAGGA
This 343-nucleotide unclassified non-coding RNA is filed under the name soil metagenome. Its description in RNAcentral is "partial contains 5.8S ribosomal RNA, internal transcribed spacer 2, and large subunit ribosomal RNA". The stretch from base 1 to 120 matches the Rfam family "5.8S ribosomal RNA", at positions 35 to 154 of the family's 154-position model. The record is from RNAcentral.